GCUGGUGUGUGUUUGGCGAGAGUCUGAAAUGGCCCCGUGAUGUGGGGAGAACUACUGGAAGUUCCAUCCACCUCGCGGACUCGAUGACCCGGCCAUCCCACAUCCUGUUUGUCCAAGAUAGGGGGGAACUUGUGUUCAACGAGACUUUAUUUUAGGAAAGAAGGACAAGGAAGGAGGUGGACCAGCAGGAGAGACGCGGCAGAGGAACUGCUCCCCUGGACCCCUUGGCCACGAAGAGGCACAGCUUCUACCUCAUGGAGAAUCGAUGCAAAGUGGACUUACGGGGACGUAAGACCGUGGGCCUCAACGCAAAGGACAAAGUUAGUGUCUUUAAUCUGCGUUGGGGGAAUUCUCCAUCCCGCACUGGCUGAGCCCAGAGAAGACUGGAAAACGGAAAAAGAGGACUCUAGGAAAUUCCCAAUAGGGAACAAUGCGUCUGCUUCAGAGUGUCAACGUGAAAAGCUGCCAUCAGCAAGGAGAAUCUUCCUAAAACAGUGUCCGCAAAGGGUCUUUAGACCAGCCUCGUAAUAACAGUGCAGAAAAUGAGAAAUGAAGAGGUGAAGAUGAUAAUCAAGACAGGAGAACAGUGCCCACGCCGUGAGUUUGGAACAAAGAAGAUCAGUACAGGUUGGUGCCCAAAAAUGUCUCGUGAGUAGACCAGCCGUACUUUCCAACCAUGCAGAUGAUUUUGUGACCCACGG
This 701-nucleotide long non-coding RNA is filed under the name Sus scrofa (pig). RNAcentral describes it as "lncRNA (ENSSSCG00070012484.1)". Lineage: Eukaryota; Metazoa; Chordata; Mammalia; Artiodactyla; Suidae. The record is from RNAcentral.